Molecule: ribosomal RNA, 225 nt
Filed under: uncultured Carnobacteriaceae bacterium
Lineage: Bacteria; Bacillati; Bacillota; Bacilli; Lactobacillales; Carnobacteriaceae
Description: partial 16S ribosomal RNA
Rfam family: Bacterial small subunit ribosomal RNA
Source: RNAcentral
CACGUGAGGAACUUGCCAUGAGCGGGGGACAACAUUCGGAAACGGAUGCUAAUACCCCAUAGGUGGAUUGGUCGCAUGACGAAUUCAUUAAAGGUGGCUUUGCUACCACUCAUGGAUAGCCUCGCGGCGUAUUAGCUAGUUGGUAAGGUAAUGGCUUACCAAGGCAGUGAUACGUAGCCGACUUGAGAGGGUGAUCGGCCACACUGGGACUGAGACACGGCCCAG